UGCCGGCUGGGGACAUGGUGAGUGUGAAGCUGUAACCUUGUGCUAGGGCCGGAGCUGAAGUUUUUCCCCCAGAGCAAGGAAGGCUGCCCCUGGCAGCAACUGCAUCCCUUCCUUACUCCUGUUGAGAUUCAUUAUAUAGUAGGAAAUAGACAUCUAACUACCAUACAAGUUCAGAUCAAUGGAAGAAAAGAGCAGCAAAAAUUGAACGGAAUGAAUCCCAAAAGCAAGAAAUUAAAGAUGCCUUUAAUUUAUUUGAUGUCGAUAGGUCUGGAACCAUCGAUGUAAAAGAAGGAAAUACUUGAUGAAGCUGAUCAUGAUGGAGAUGGAAAAAUAAAUGAGGAAGAAUUUUCAAGAGUGAUGAAAAAGACUACUCUUUAUUAAUAGUGUUGUUUUGGUCCUUGUGGAAAAUUAACAAAUUUGUAUUUGUUAUAUAGUUUUGUACUUUAAUAUCUGAAUGUAUUCAUUUUAAGUUUUUAGUUUAUAUGUACACAUUGGCUUCUUGAUGUCUAAUCCAUGUAAGAAGUUACACAUCUCUACCAGUAUGUUGUUAAAUCUACAGCAUCAAGAAACAAAACAUAAUGACUUCUUUGAACCAUUAAUGCAAGAACAGUAUUAAUUCUACCUGCUCUUUUGAGAACCCUAGGUCACAAGGAGUUAGAAUUUUUAAGUUUGAUGAAGUUGGCUUCAUAUCCAAAUGAAUUUGGCAAACAAACCCUGUAUUUUCCUUUUGUGCAACUCAAAAAAACCUGAUGAACAUUUGCUUUUUAGUCAGUUACUCAAAUACGUAAAGUAUUAAAUGGAACUGUCUGGAAAUAUUAUUUGCUAAUUUUCUUCUUUUAGU
Mandrillus leucophaeus (drill) is the source of this 841-nucleotide long non-coding RNA. RefSeq lists it as uncharacterized. The record is from RefSeq and is a predicted model, not a curated record. Lineage: Eukaryota; Metazoa; Chordata; Mammalia; Primates; Cercopithecidae. The transcript is spliced from 3 exons.